CUCUGCCUGAGGGGUAAAACUAAAACGUUUCCACCUCCAGCCAAUCCCAGAGAAGGCAGGAGCGCACUCCUCCAAUGGGAGCCCGAGAGCGGUCAGUGGCCGUGGAGGCCUGCUACCCCCGCUAGCUCUCCAGCCCGCCGGAGGGACGCUAGAUCCAGCCGCCGGCCCCUUGAAUCUGCUCCCCCUCGGCAGCGGUGGCGCGGAGGGCAGGAGGUGUCUGGUGAGACGGUCAGCGGGUAUCGGAGGAUCGUGCGGGUAGCAAAGGGAUGGCGAGUGCCCCUGCAGCCCCAGACAACAACCAGGUGUCCUUUUUCUCUGGAUGCUUUGAAGAUCCUUCUUUGAUUAUUGCUUGAUGCUAAAAGCUUUUUUUUAAUUUAUUUUUUAUUGGUGUUCAAUUUACUAACAUACAGAAUAACCCCCAGUGCCCGUCACCCAUUCACUCCCACCCCCCGCCCUCCUCCCCUUCUACCACCCCUAGUUCGUUUCCCAGAGUUGAUGCUAAAAGCUUUUUGUUGUCAUUCUCUAUAUGUUCCUUUAUUUAUGAAUGGAAAAAGUUCCCCCAUUGCUUUUCUAGGCAAUUAUUAAAAUAGAUAAUGGUUAUUGACUUCUAUACAUUUAACUUAUAAGCCACCUCAUGAGUAUAUUCAUUUUAAUGCAUUUUUCUCAUCAGAACCUUUUGGGCUUCCUGGGCAUAAAAUAAUAUCAGCAACAAAUAGGUUUUUUAUCUCUGCUUUUCUAGUGUUAUACCAGUCACCUCAUUUUUUUGCCCUACUGUUCCUUUAUAGCUUCCAAGACAAGGUUGAGUAUAUGGUAGUAGCAGGUAGUCCUGUUUUGUUCCUGAUAAUUUUGAUCAUCUGAUAAAUGUUCCAGUGAAUAUUUGUUGAGAGGCCAUGUUCUAGGGCCUGAGAAUACCGAGGGGAUGAACCUUUCUUUUUAGAGCUUCCUGAUCUUGCUUCAUGAAUGCAGUAUUUUUUCAUGUCACUCUGAGGACAUUAAAUCCUCAGUCUUCAGUCCAAGUCUUUGUUUCCAAAUAUGUAUAUUUGGGUGUCAGCAGCAGUGGGAAACUCACUGAUGUCAGAUUUGACCUGAGGCACCAGAGAUUCCAAAGACACGAUAUAUUCUGAAGUCUUAGAGUUUGUAUAAAUAGUAGGGGUGGGAAGGGGCCCCUCUCCUAGUGUGCAAGUACAGAACAGUGCCACACUUCUGUCACUCGAGACCUUAGUAGUGCAGUGGAUUCUGGCGCAGACUGCCUGGAAUCAAAUUCCAGAUCUGUCAUUUCAUAGGGGAGGCAGGGGACUUCUUUAUUUGUAGUUUCACCUGUAAAAAUGAGGGUAAUAACAGU
This 1342-nucleotide long non-coding RNA is filed under the name Canis lupus dingo (dingo). Its description in RNAcentral is "lncRNA (ENSCAFG00020020021.1)". Lineage: Eukaryota; Metazoa; Chordata; Mammalia; Carnivora; Canidae. The record is from RNAcentral.